This 2838-nucleotide ribosomal RNA is filed under the name Chenopodium quinoa (quinoa). RNAcentral's name for it is "eukaryotic LSU rRNA". It matches the Rfam family "Eukaryotic large subunit ribosomal RNA", at positions 386 to 3182 of the family's 3401-position model. Lineage: Eukaryota; Viridiplantae; Streptophyta; Magnoliopsida; Caryophyllales; Amaranthaceae. The record is from RNAcentral.
AUAGUAGCUUUGCAACUACAUUGAGUAUCUUGUUUUACGUAUCACAGAGUAUCUUGUUUUAGACUCAGUCCUCAGAGUUUUUCAUUUAUUCUUAUUAUCGGGUUCAAGUCAAGUUGGAUGAAUCUUGUGGUCCAUUUGGUAGUCGGUAGUAAAUUGUGCUAUGGAGUACUUGUUUUGAACUUGUGUAAUUUUAGGGGAGUUCUCAUGUCAUUGUAAAUGCAUGUUAUGGUAUUUGUUGAAUAAUUAUGAAAUUUCUUCCUAAUACUUUAAAAUCUCUACACAAUUGUGCUUGCUUGAGCAUAUGAAAAAGUUCAAUAUAGAAUAUUCCAAAAUAAUUUGUCUUUUAAAUAGAACAUAAAAAAACUUACAAUCGUCCUAGAACAUUGUAAUGUUGUAAUGUUAUUUGAUAGUAUUCAACUAUAUUCUAUUCUAUGGUACGGGAUCCCCUAGCGGGUGCACCCGAAGGGUUCGAGUGAGAGCAUACUUGUCGAGACACGAAAUAUGGUGAACUAUGCCUGAGCGGAGCGAAGCAAGAGGAAACUCUGGUGGAGGUCUGAAGCGAUACUGAUGUGCAAAUCGUUCGUCUGACUUGGGUAUAGGGGCGAAAGACUAAUCGAACAGUCUAGUAGCUGGUUCCCUCCGAAGUCUCCCUCAGGAUAGUUGGAGCUCAUUAGCGAGUUCUAUCAGGUAAAGCCAAUGAUUAGAGGCCUCGGGGGAGCAACGCCCUCGACCUAUUCUCAAACUUUAAAUAGGUAGGAUGACGUAGCUGCUUUGUUGAGCCGUGCCAUGGAAUCGAGAGCUCUAAAUGGGCCAUUUUUGGUAAGCAGAACUGGCGAUGCGGGAUGAACUGGAAGCCGGGUUACGGUGCCCAACUAUGCGUUAACCUAGAUCCUACAAAGGGUGUUGGUCGAUUAAGACAGCAGGACGGUGGUCAUGGAAGUCGAAAUCUGCUAAGGUGUGUGUAACAACUCACCUGCCGAAUCAACUAGCCCCGAAAAUGGAUGGCGCUGGGGCACGUGACCAAUACCCGGCCGUCAGGGCAAGUGCUAGGCCCCGAUGAAUAGGAGGGCGCAACGGUCGCUACAAAACCUAUGGCGUGAGCCAGGGCGGAGCGGCCGAAGGUGCAGAUUUUGGUGGUAAUAGCAAAUAUUCAAAUGAGAACUUUGAAGGCCGAAGAGGGAAAAGGUUCCAUGUAAACGACACUUACAUAUGGGUUAUUCAAUCCUAAGAGAUGGGGGAAGCAUGUCUGAUAGCGCGUUUUGCGCAAGCUUCGAAAAGGAAUCAGGUUAAAAUUUCUGAAUCGGGACGUGGCAGUUGACGGUAACGUUGGGAAGUCCGAAGACGUCGGCGGGGGCCUCAAGAAGAGUUAUCUUUUAUGUUAACAGUCUGCGGCCAGUCGGAGGUAGGGUCCACCGGCUGGAAGAGCACAGCACGUUUUGUGGUGUCUGGUGCGCCCUCGGCGGCCCUUGAAAAUCCGAGACCGAAUGUCGACCAGGCCCGAUCGUUCUCAUAAUCGCAUCAACUCUCCUAGGUGAACAACCUUUGGUCGAUGGAAGAAUGUAGACAAGGGUAUUCGGCAAAAUGGAUCCGUAACUUCGGGAAAAGUAUUGGCUCUGAGGGCUGGGCACGAGGGUCCAAGUCCCGAAAUCGUCGGCUGUCGGUGGACUGCUCGAGCUGCUUCCGUGGUGCGUGUGGAUCGCCGCGUGCCGGCCGGGGGACGGACUGGGAACGAUCCCUUUGGGGGCCUUCCCCGGGCGUUGAGCAGUUAACUCAGAACUGGUACAGAUAAGGGGAAUCCGACUGUUUAAUUAGAACAAAGCAUUGCGAUGGUCCCUGCGGAUGUUAACGCAAUGUGGUUUCUGCCCAGUGCUCUUAAUGUCAAAGUGAAGAAAUUCAACCAAGCGCGGGUAAACAACAGGAGUAACUAUGACUAUCUUAAAGUAGCCAAAUGACUUGUCAUCUAAUUAGUGACGCAUGAAUGGAUUAACGAGAUUCCCACUGUCCCUGCCUACUAUCCGGCGAAACCACAACCAAGGGAACGAGCUUGGCAGAAUCAGCGGGGAAAGAAAACUUUGCUGAGCUUGACUCUAGUCCGACUUUGUGAAAUGACUUGAGAGGUGUAGGAUAAGUGGGAGGUUCGGCGCAAGUGAAAUACCACUACUUUUAACGUUAUUUUACUUACUCUGUGAGUCGGAAGCUGGGCAAUGCCCCUCCUUUUAUACCUAAGGUCCACUUUGCGGGCCGAUCCGAGCGGAGGACAUUGGUAGGUAGGGAGUUUGGCUGGGGCGGCACAUCUGUUAAAAGAUAACUCAGGUGUCCUAAAAUGAGCUCAACGAGAACAUAAAUCUCGUGUGGAACAGAAGGGUAAAAGCUCGUUUGAUUCUGAUUUUCAGUACGAAUACAAACCGUGAAAGCGUGGCCUAACAAUCCUUAAUUUAGUCCUUUAGAAUUUAAAGCUAGAGGUGUCAGAAAAGUUACCACAUCGAUAACUAGCUUGUGGCAGCCAAGCGUUCAUAACAACGUUGCUUUUUUAUCCUUCAAUGUCGACUCUUCCUAUCAUUGUGAAUCAGAAUUCACCAAGUGUUGGAUUGUUCACCCACCAAUAGAGAACGUGAGUUGGGUUUAGACCGUCACGAGACAUGUUAGUUUUACCCUAUUGAUGACAGUGUCUCAAUGGUAAUUCAGUCUAGAACGAGAGGAACCGUUGAUUCACACAAUUGGUCAUCGCGCCUGGUUGAAAAGCUUGUGGCGUGAAGCUACCGCGUGCUGGAUUAUGACUAAACGCCUCUAAGUCAGAAUCCGGGCCAAAAGCGACGCAUGCGCCCUCCGCUCGAUUGU